This 288-nucleotide ribosomal RNA is filed under the name Thermoclostridium sp. RNAcentral's name for it is "partial 16S ribosomal RNA". It matches the Rfam family "Bacterial small subunit ribosomal RNA", at positions 1 to 211 of the family's 1533-position model. The record is from RNAcentral. Lineage: Bacteria; Bacillati; Bacillota; Clostridia; Eubacteriales; Oscillospiraceae.
UAAUUUGAGGGUUUGAUCCUGGCUCAGGACGAACGCUGGCGGCGUGCCUAACACAUGCAAGUUGAACGGGAUUCGUGCUCAACACCGAGCAUUCGGGGCAGCAAGAGGAGCGCUUAGCGUUAAGAUACUUGCCGAACAACCCCGGUGCUGGGUGUUGAGCAUGAUGAGAGUAGCGGACGGGCGAGUAACGCGUGAGUAACCUGCCCUUUGCUGGGGGAUAACAUCGGGAAACCGGUGCUAAUACCGCAUAAGACCACAGUGCCACAUGACACAGCGGUCAAAGCUCCG